GCUAGUAAUCGCGAGUCAGCAUAUCGCGGUGAAUAACGUUCCCGGGUCUUGUACACACCGCCCGUCACACCAUGGGAGUUGGCAACACCCGAAGCCGAUGAGCUAACCCGCAAGGGAGGCAGUUGUCUAAGGUGGGGUUGAUAACUGGGGUGAAGUCGUAACAAGGUAAC
RNAcentral lists this ribosomal RNA (170 nucleotides) under uncultured bacterium. RNAcentral describes it as "partial 16S ribosomal RNA". It matches the Rfam family "Bacterial small subunit ribosomal RNA", at positions 1334 to 1500 of the family's 1533-position model. The record is from RNAcentral.